ACACAUUCCAGCAGGCCAGCGGCUCGGAGCUUACGCCCUCCCAGAGAUGUGGUGCUCUCCUGGAGCUGCUGACUGUACUUCCAGAACAGCACAACACGACCUGCCUAGCCCAGAGCAGGAGAGGAACAGUUCGUAAUGCCAUGCAGGAGGGCCUGCCACAUGUCCUUCCCUUGCUUCAGAAUUUACUGGAGCAGCCCUCCACCCUAGAUGUACAACAGCAGGC
Molecule: long non-coding RNA, 223 nt
Organism: Branchiostoma floridae (Florida lancelet)
Lineage: Eukaryota; Metazoa; Chordata; Leptocardii; Amphioxiformes; Branchiostomatidae
Exons: 4
Source: RefSeq, a predicted model, not a curated record